This 253-nucleotide ribosomal RNA is filed under the name uncultured bacterium. RNAcentral's name for it is "partial 16S ribosomal RNA". It matches the Rfam family "Bacterial small subunit ribosomal RNA", at positions 524 to 776 of the family's 1533-position model. The record is from RNAcentral.
UACGUAGGGUGCAAGCGUUGUCCGGAAUUAUUGGGCGUAAAGAGCUCGUAGGCGGUUUGUCGCGUCUGCUGUGAAAACUCGGGGCUUAACCCCGGGCCUGCAGUGGGUACGGGCAGACUAGGGUGCGGUAGGGGAGACUGGAAUUCCUGGUGUAGCGGUGAAAUGCGCAGAUAUCAGGAAGAACACCCGUGGCUAAGGCGGCUCUCUAGUACGGUACUGACGCUGAGACGCGAAAGCGUGGGGAGCGAACAGG